GAUGAAGAACGUAGCGAAAUGCGAUACUUGGUGUGAAUUGCAGAAUCCCGUGAACCAUCGAGUCUUUGAACGCAAGUUGCGCCCGAAGCCAUUAGGCCGAGGGCACGCCUGCCUGGGCGUCACACGUCGUUGCCCCCCCAUCUACUCCUUCGGGAUUGCGGGGGGCGGAUGAUGGCCUCCCGUGCGCCUCGUCGCGCGGUUGGCCUAAAUGCCAAGUCCUCGGCGACGCACGCCACGACAAUCGGUGGUUGCGAAACCUCGGUUGCCCGUCGUGUGCGGUCGUCGCGCAUCGAGGGCUCGAAAAAAUUGCCGAGUUCCGGCUCGGCUUUCAACGCGACCCCAGGUCAGGCGGGGUUACCCGCUGAAUUUAAGCAUAUCAAUAAGCGGAGGA
Molecule: unclassified non-coding RNA, 391 nt
Filed under: soil metagenome
Description: partial contains 5.8S ribosomal RNA, internal transcribed spacer 2, and large subunit ribosomal RNA
Rfam family: 5.8S ribosomal RNA (bases 1-122)
Source: RNAcentral